UACGAAGGGGGCUAGCGUUGCUCGGAAUCACUGGGCGUAAAGCGCACGUAGGCGGCUUUCUAAGUCAGGGGUGAAAUCCUGGAGCUCAACUCCAGAACUGCCUUUGAUACUGGAGAGCUUGAGUCCGGGAGAGGUGAGUGGAACUCCGAGUGUAGAGGUGAAAUUCGUAGACAUUCGGAAGAACACCAGUGGCGAAGGCGGCUCACUGGCCCGGUACUGACGCUGAGGUGCGAAAGCGUGGGGAGCAAACAGG
This 253-nucleotide ribosomal RNA is filed under the name uncultured bacterium. RNAcentral's name for it is "partial 16S ribosomal RNA". It matches the Rfam family "Bacterial small subunit ribosomal RNA", at positions 524 to 776 of the family's 1533-position model. The record is from RNAcentral.